This 205-nucleotide unclassified non-coding RNA is filed under the name fungal sp. Its description in RNAcentral is "partial internal transcribed spacer region". The stretch from base 1 to 46 matches the Rfam family "Eukaryotic small subunit ribosomal RNA", at positions 1786 to 1831 of the family's 1831-position model. Lineage: Eukaryota; Fungi. The record is from RNAcentral.
AAGUCGUAACAAGGUUUCCGUAGGUGAACCUGCGGAAGGAUCAUUAACAGUUUAUGUUUGUGUCUGUUGUUGUGAUGUGUGUGAUCUGUGACAAUUGCCAUUUGGUUGGCAAUGUUAUUUUUUUUUACCAUGUUUUUUAUCACCUGUCUUAUACCAUACCAUAUACAAUUAUCGAAAACUGCCAGCAAUGGAUCACUCGGUUCUU